GGGGGGGGGGGGGGGGGGGGGGGGGGGGGGGGGGGGGGGGGGGGGGGGGGGGGGGGGGGGGGGGGGGGGGGGGGGGGGGGGGGGGGGGGGGGGGGGGGGGGGGGGGGGGGGGGGGUGUGCGGGCUCUGCCCGGCCCCGCGCUGCCGGCGACCACGGAGCUCCCCGGUGACUGCCGAGGCGGCGGGAGAGGAAGCGGAGUUGCAUCUGUUUAGCUGCAGCUUGUAUCUUUUUGCACAUAGGCAAAGAUCACAGCUUUCUCAACAAAGACCCAAACUGAAAAUGGAGUAAAAAUUACUAUGAGAAGUUUGCUUUCUGGAAGGAAGUGAGUUUUCCUGCUCUACAGCUCCAAGUCCCAAUAUCGAUUUAUGUUUUCCAGUAUAGAUUUAUGUUUUCCAAUACAGUGUGCAUUUUAUAUCAAGUCUAUGCUUUUUCUGUUAUUUUUGGAAGAUUCUUCUGAUGAUUAUAUUCAACUGGUAAUGUAGCUUUGUAAAUUAAAGACUUCUUCUUGUUCAAUGCUUUGUUUUAUUCACUAAAAUCACAAUAUGAUUUUGCACAUUUUAAGGAAAAAAAGGUGACAUUUAAACCAAGCAUUCAAAAAUCAUAGUUUUACUGUUGCAACUGAUUAUUUUGUAGUAAAAAUUUGUGAGUACAUCUUUAUUUUUGUUUUUGAAACUGAAGUGCUAUUCACUCAUAUAUGCUAAUGUUUUCUUGAGGAAUGCCUUAAACUUAUAAAAACAAUUUGCCAUUGGAGAGUGUAAUUUUUUUUCACUUACACAUUCAUUCUGUGAAAGUAUCUAAGAGAAAUUGAAACACAGAAUCUUCUUGUAAGUUUCUUGUAUUCUAACUUGUUUAGCUUCUAGAUUUUGUAGGUACCUUUAAGUGAAUUGGAUUUUCUCAUGGCAUUUAGAUUAACAAUAAAAUUACUCAUCUUACUCACUGAAUUAUAUUCUUCUCUAAUUAUUUUAAUCUCUUAUAUAUCACUAUAAGAAGGACAGGCUUCCUUUUUUUUAAAAAAGAAAAUUGGCCUUCUGUGUCAUGUCAAUGCUUAUUAAAUACUACAAUCAUAAGAAUAUACUAGAUUUUAUAUUCUGAUUCCAUAGCCGUUAUAGGCUUAGUGUUUGCAGUACUUAUUUAAUGGUAAUGCAUUUCUUUUCCUAUUUUGCAUUUCAAAGGUCUUCUCUAAAUGAUUGUUUUGCAGAACUAUCAAGAGGUUAUCUAAAUUUUUCAAUCAAAUAUUACACAAUACCAUAAAGUGAUAGUCAUGGAGUUUCUUCCACUCCAUGUAUACUCUUUAUAUAGAAAGAACUAAAUAGAAAUCUGUAAGAAAACAACAAAUGUUUCAUUAAAUAAUUGAAUGUAUUAGGCUUGACUGAAUUUUAACCAAAGCAAAAAUUCGGGCUGUUCAAUACUGAGCUGAUGUGUUACAUGAUGUGAGAUUACAAAUUUUUUUAUUUGAAAACUACACAGUAGGUUCUUCAGGAAUAUACUCUUGUUGCUAUGGUGCAGCUUUCAUCAAGUUGUUGCAAAGCAAUUAUUUUCCAAGUUUUUUAUUUGAAAACUACACAGUAGGUUCUUCAGGAAUAUACUCUUGUUGCUAUGGUGCAGCUUUCAUCAAGUUGUUGCAAAGCAAUUAUUUUUUCUUUGGCAAUGCUUCUUUAUAAAACUAAAGACUGAGCUUUAAAAUAGCUAACAUAAAAAAAAAAGACGCUUGGGAAUUGAUUGUACUAGUUGCUUUUCAGAGAAGAAAUUGCAGGAAGACCUAAAUGAAUUAAAAAAAAAAGUUAUAAAAAUUUACAAUUGUUUGUUACAAUACACGGGGGGGGGGGGGGGGGG
Ficedula albicollis (Collared flycatcher) is the source of this 1833-nucleotide long non-coding RNA. The record is from Ensembl. Lineage: Eukaryota; Metazoa; Chordata; Aves; Passeriformes; Muscicapidae.